GACAGAGGGUGCAAACGUUGCUCGGAAUCACUGGGCGUAAAGGGCGUGUAGGCGGGUAGAUAAGUCGGGCGUGAAAUCCCUAGGCUCAACCUAGGAACUGCACUCGAAACUGUUUAUCUUGAGUGCCGGAGAGGAAAGCGGAAUUCCUGGUGUAGAGGUGAAAUUCGUAGAUAUCAGGAGGAACACCAGUGGCGAAGGCGGCUUUCUGGACGGUAACUG
This 219-nucleotide ribosomal RNA is filed under the name uncultured bacterium. RNAcentral's name for it is "partial 16S ribosomal RNA". It matches the Rfam family "Bacterial small subunit ribosomal RNA", at positions 524 to 742 of the family's 1533-position model. The record is from RNAcentral.